This 460-nucleotide ribosomal RNA is filed under the name uncultured bacterium. RNAcentral's name for it is "partial 16S ribosomal RNA". It matches the Rfam family "Bacterial small subunit ribosomal RNA", at positions 338 to 795 of the family's 1533-position model. The record is from RNAcentral.
CCUACGGGAGGCAGCAGUGAGGAAUAUUGGUCAAUGGGCGUAAGCCUGAACCAGCCAAGUCGCGUGAGGGAUGAAGGUUCUAUGGAUCGUAAACCUCUUUUAUAAGGGAAUAAAGUGUGGGACGUGUCCUAUUUUGUAUGUACCUUAUGAAUAAGGAUCGGCUAACUCCGUGCCAGCAGCCGGCGUAAUACGGAGGAUCCGAGCGUUAUCCGGAUUUAUUGGGGUUAAAGGGUGCGUAGGCGGCCUUUUAAGUCAGCGGUGAAAGUCUGUGGCUUAACCAUAGAACUGCCGUUGAAACUGGGAGUCUUGAGUAUGUUUGAGGCAGGCGGAAUGCGUGGUGUAGCGGUGAAAUGCUUAGAUAUCACGCAGAACCCCGAUUGCGAAGGCAGCCUGCCAGGCCAUGACUGACGCUGAUGCACGAAAGCGUGGGGAUCAAACAGGAUUAGAUACCCUAGUAGUC